This 723-nucleotide ribosomal RNA is filed under the name uncultured bacterium. RNAcentral's name for it is "bacterial SSU rRNA". It matches the Rfam family "Bacterial small subunit ribosomal RNA", at positions 772 to 1507 of the family's 1533-position model. The record is from RNAcentral.
ACAGGAUUAGAUACCCUGGUAGUCCACGCCGUAAACGAUGAUCACUCGCUGUUAGCGAUAUACAGUUAGCGGCUAAGCAAAAGCAUUAAGUGAUCCACCUGGGGAGUACGGCCGCAAGGCUGAAACUCAAAGGAAUUGACGGGGGCCCGCACAAGCGGAGGAACAUGUGGUUUAAUUCGAUGAUACGCGAGGAACCUUACCUGGGCUUAAAUGUAGAGUGCAUGAGGUAGAAAUACUUCUUCCCUUCGGGGCUCUUUGCAAGGUGCUGCAUGGUUGUCGUCAGCUCGUGCCGUGAGGUGUCGGGUUAAGUCCCAUAACGAGCGCAACCCUUAUCGUUAGUUGCCAGCGGGUAAUGCCGGGGACUCUAACGAAACUGCCGGUGUAAACCGUGAGGAAGGUGGGGAUGACGUCAAAUCAGCACGGCCCUUAUGUCCAGGGCUACACACGUGUUACAAUGGCCGGUACAGAGGGCAGCUACCUGGAGACAGGAUGCGAAUCUCAAAAACCGGUCUCAGUUCGGAUCGGAGUCUGCAACUCGACUCCGUGAAGCUGGAUUCGCUAGUAAUCGCGCAUCAGCCAUGGCGCGGUGAAUACGUUCCCGGGCCUUGUACACACCGCCCGUCAAGCCAUGGAAGCUGGGGGUACCUGAAGUCCGUAACCGCAAGGAGCGGCCUAGGGUAAAACUGGUGACUGGGGCUAAGUCGUAACAAGGUAACCAAGGGC